RNAcentral lists this long non-coding RNA (1012 nucleotides) under Mytilus galloprovincialis (Mediterranean mussel). The record is from RNAcentral. Lineage: Eukaryota; Metazoa; Mollusca; Bivalvia; Mytilida; Mytilidae.
CCGGCGAAAGAGACGUUUGUAUUCUGCAACUCCCUUAAAAUUAUCCAUAAAUUUUGAAAUUAUAAAGAAACUAAGGUUUCAACUCCAUUAGACAAAGUUGAUCUUCGUCUGCAUGAUUUGGCUAUUUAUUCGGUUCUAUUUGGUCUGAUAGCUCUUCAACUGUUUCUGUUUUUUGUGCAUGCUUCGUUCCAAAAAUCGAGAAUUAUAGCUCUUUGAUUGUAUGACUAGUUGUUGUAUGUUUUUUUUCCAGCUGUACAGAGCUUUUUGUUGUCAAUGGUUAUUUUUGUCGGAACUCUUUCACGAAAUUUCAUUGUAACAUGGAUGGUAAAUUUUCCUUUGAUCUUCUGGUGACUUAACUCGGUUAUUUUUAGCAGAGUGCGUUAACUGAAUGAUUUUUUAGUUAUUUCACUCUCCAAUCCCGCCGUAGAGAACUUCUCGUUUGAAAAGCAAAGAAUGGGAGGAGCUUAAACCAGUGCAUUAACUACAAAAAUUUGUUAAUGCACAGUCUAGCUCCGCCUCCUUGGGGUAGUAAUUAGGGAGCAACCAUUUGAACUUCAUGGGGGCUAUGUUUUUUUGUCUCAGUCGGAAAUUUGUUUUCGCAAAAAGCGCGAUCAAUCUUUUUUUAGUUUUUCAACGCUUUCAAUUUUUUCCCAAUAUUUAACACUAUAAGGUAUGGGGAAAAUCUGGAUUCAGAAUUUAUUUUUUGUCAUCUGCUUGACCAGAAUAAAAAAAACUGUUUAUAAAAUCUGGGAUAAGAAUAUCUUUUUAGAAGAAUAGGAAACAUACCCCCCCCCCUCCAGGGCCCCCACAUAAAGUUCUAUUUUCGUGUAUUGGACAAGCUUCAAACAUUUGUCCCUGGACCUUACAUGAAUUCGACACGCAAUCAAUUAACCGAUCUUCCCCAGUUUUGGGGAACGAAAGAACAUUUUGAUUUACCUUUAUAAUUGGUAUUAGGGAUAUGUUUCCUUUUUAUCACAACGUCCUUUGAAACUACAAGUCUUUUUUAUGUUUU